This 214-nucleotide ribosomal RNA is filed under the name uncultured bacterium. Its description in RNAcentral is "partial 16S ribosomal RNA". It matches the Rfam family "Bacterial small subunit ribosomal RNA", at positions 524 to 737 of the family's 1533-position model. The record is from RNAcentral.
UACGUAGGUGGCGAGCGUUGUCCGGAAUUACUGGGCGUAAAGGGUGCGUAGGCGGGAUAUUAAGUUAGAUGUGAAAACCCCGGGCUUAACCUGGGGAGUGCCUUUGAAACUGGUGACCUAGAGUGCAGGAGAGGUAAGCGGAAUUCCUAGUGUAGCGGUGAAAUGCGUAGAUAUUAGGAAGAACAUCAGUGGCGAAGGCGGCUUACUGGACUGU